UGUUAAGGAACUCGGCAAAAUGACCCCGUAACUUAGGGAUAAGGGGUGCCAUCGAAAGAUGGCCGCAGAGAAUAGGCCCAAGCGACUGUUUACCAAAAACAUAGGUUUCUGCUAAGUCGCAAGACGAUGUAUAGGAGCUGACGCCUGCCCGGUGCUGGAAGGUNNNNNNNNNNNNGACGGAAAGACCCCAUGGAGCUUUACUGUAGCUUGGCAUUGGGUCUUGGUACUACAUGUACAGCAUAGGUGGGAGGCUUUGAUUCCAGGACGCCAGUUUUGGAUGAGCCACCGUUGGGAUACCACCCCUGUAGUACUGGGACUCUAACCAGAGGCCUUGAAUCAGGUCUUGGGACACUGUCAGGCGGGCAGUUUGACUGGGGCGGUCGCCUCCCAAAAGGUAACGGAGGCGCUCAAAGGUUCUCUCAGCACGGUCGGAAAUCGUGCAUAGAGUGUAAAGGCAUAAGAGAGCUUGAUUGCAAGACAUACAGGUCGAGCAAGGACGAAAGUCGGACUUAG
This 513-nucleotide ribosomal RNA is filed under the name Acinetobacter baumannii. RNAcentral's name for it is "partial 23S ribosomal RNA". It matches the Rfam family "Bacterial large subunit ribosomal RNA", at positions 1703 to 2415 of the family's 2925-position model. The record is from RNAcentral. Lineage: Bacteria; Pseudomonadati; Pseudomonadota; Gammaproteobacteria; Moraxellales; Moraxellaceae.